This 472-nucleotide ribosomal RNA is filed under the name uncultured bacterium. RNAcentral describes it as "SSU rRNA". It matches the Rfam family "Bacterial small subunit ribosomal RNA", at positions 26 to 518 of the family's 1533-position model. The record is from RNAcentral.
AGGACGAACGCUGGCGGCGUGCUUAACACAUGCAAGUCGAGCGGAAAGGCCCUUCGGGGUACUCGAGCGGCGAACGGGUGAGUAACACGUGAGUAAUCUGCCCCUAGCUCUGGGAUAGCUCCGGGAAACCGGGAUUAAUACCAGAUACGACCACUUUAGACAUCUGUUGUGGUGGAAAGAAUUUUGGCUAGGGAUGAGCUCGCGGCCUAUCAGCUUGUUGGUGAGGUAACGGCUCACCAAGGCGACGACGGGUAGCCGGCCUGAGAGGGGCGACCGGCCACGACUGGGACUGAGACACGGCCCAGACUCCUACGGGAGGCAGCAGUUUAGAAUAUUGUGCAAUGGGCGAAAGCCUGACACAGCGACGCCGCGUGGGUGAUGAAGGCCUUAGGGUCGUAAAGCCCUGUUGGUAGGGAAGAGCAAGGACGGUACCUACCGAGGAAGCCCCGGCUAACUACGUGCCAGCAGCCGC